ACCUAGGCCCCUGGUGCAUUAGCAAAGUAAUUCUUCUCUAACUGCCUUUUAUCAGGCUUGAGGACCUUUCGUGGAGAAUCCGGUGGGCCAGGGCAGGGGCUAGGUGGGUGUUGUGGGAAGACCUCCCAACAAGCCCUGUCCCCCCUGAAGUGUCCCAGUGCCAGAAGCCAGGCUACAGAUGGGGGUCGGGACAGGCUUGACAGAGGAGACCAUUUCUCCCCUGUCCCAGACACAGCAGAGGCCGCAGGCCACCUGCCCUGUCACUGGCAGUACAGCUCUCAUGACUCUGAGAAUCAGAAAGGUGCUGACUGCCACUCAGAACAUUCCAUCCAUCGCUGGGGAAGGAAUUUAUAAAUAUUACCUCGGCUUCCAUGUGCUUACACCAAGAGUCGCAUAAAUCAGAGCCGAGGCUCCCGGACCUCCCAGGCUAUAUAAAGCCACCCUCUGCCUCCUGGGUUCCAAUUUUAAAUCAAACACAGCCCAGCCCUGCCGCUCCUGUUGAUCCUCACGGAUUCCAUGGGCCGCUCAACGGCUCCUGAACCGCCGACUAAAAAUGACUCUGUUGUUCCCACUGAAAUUUAAAAUUAAAACUCAUGUGUGGAGUU
Long non-coding RNA from Myotis davidii, 605 nucleotides. RefSeq lists it as uncharacterized. The transcript is spliced from 2 exons. The record is from RefSeq and is a predicted model, not a curated record. NCBI's taxonomy places the organism in Eukaryota, Metazoa, Chordata, Mammalia, Chiroptera, Vespertilionidae.